Oryza meridionalis is the source of this 180-nucleotide non-coding RNA. The record is from Rfam. NCBI's taxonomy places the organism in Eukaryota, Viridiplantae, Streptophyta, Magnoliopsida, Poales, Poaceae.
NNNNNNUUCCAUGCCCAACGUUUGACCGUUCGUCUUAUUUAAAAAAUUUAAAAGUUAAGUCACACAUAAAGUACUAUUAAUAUUUUAUCAUCUAAUAACAAUAAAAAUACUAAUUAUAAAAAUAUUUCAAAUAAGACAGGUGGUUAAAAUUGAGCACUGAAACUCACAACUGCGCUUAUU